UACAGAGGGGGCAAGCGUGGUUCGGAAUUACUGGGCGGAAAGGGCGCGUAGGCGGCCGCCUAAGUCAGACGUGAAAUCCCUCGGCUCAACCGGGGAACUGCGUCUGAUACUGGGUGGCUUGAAUCCGGGAGAGGGAUGCGGAAUUCCAGGUGUAGCGGUGAAAUGCGUAGAUAUCUGGAGGAACACCGGUGGCGAAGGCGGCAUCCUGGACCGGCAUUGACGCUGAGGCGCGAAAGCCAGGGGAGCAAACGGG
Molecule: ribosomal RNA, 253 nt
Filed under: uncultured bacterium
Lineage: Bacteria
Description: partial 16S ribosomal RNA
Rfam family: Bacterial small subunit ribosomal RNA
Source: RNAcentral